Molecule: ribosomal RNA, 496 nt
Filed under: uncultured bacterium
Lineage: Bacteria
Description: partial 16S ribosomal RNA
Rfam family: Bacterial small subunit ribosomal RNA
Source: RNAcentral
AUGCACGCUGGCGGCGUGCCUAAUACCUGCAAGUCGAGCGCACGGACGAGAAGCUUGCUUCUCUGAUGUUAGCGGCGGACGGGUGAGUAACACGUGGAUAACCUACCUAUAAGACUGGGAUAACUUCGGGAAACCGGAGCUAAUACCGGAUAAUAUUUUGAACCGCAUGGUUCAAAAGUGAAAGACGGUCUUGCUGUCACUUAUAGAUGGAUCCGCGCUGCAUUAGCUAGUUGGUAAGGUAACGGCUUACCAAGGCAACGAUGCAUAGCCGACCUGAGAGGGUGAUCGGCCACACUGGAACUGAGACACGGUCCAGACUCCUACGGGAGGCAGCAGUAGGGAAUCUUCCGCAAUGGGCGAAAGCCUGACGGAGCAACGCCGCGUGAGUGAUGAAGGUCUUCGGAUCGUAAAACUCUGUUAUUAGGGAAGAACAUAUGUGUAAGUAACUGUGCACAUCUUGACGGUACCUAAUCAGAAAGCCACGGCUAACUACGUG